Cervus elaphus (red deer) is the source of this 1019-nucleotide long non-coding RNA. RefSeq lists it as uncharacterized. The transcript is spliced from 3 exons. Lineage: Eukaryota; Metazoa; Chordata; Mammalia; Artiodactyla; Cervidae. The record is from RefSeq and is a predicted model, not a curated record.
GGCAAUGCCCGGGAAGUGCUCACAGUGCCCGGGCACCAGCUCCGCCCGGCUCUGUACUGUGCCGCUGGCUCGCCGCCACCCCUGGCCCCGAGGGGCACAGAGCUGCCUGCUGGGGGCCACACUUUAUGUUUCUCAAAGCUCAUCUUUCUCUAGAUGAAGCCCACAGAGACGCACAGCACGUGAGUAGGAUGCAGUAUGUCUGCGGUAUUAACCUGGGGGAUGCCUGACUGCUUUCCUCUCAAGUCAGGGAAAAGGAAGACAAGUACAACCAAGGACCUCUUUUCCUUUUCAACACAGCAAACCUGUCCAGGACUCUCCCAGAGCCUCCUGUUACUGCUUCACUGGCCUGCACUGCGUCACGUGGCCAGAGUGGAGGCUGAAAUGGCAUCUCCUCUGACAGGCCUCCUGACCUUUCUCUGCAGCGAUGCAGCUGCAGAAUGUAUUCUGAAUGACCAGCGAAAAGCACCCUCCGUUUCCCCGGGACACUUGCCAGCCAGCCCUGCUCUCAUUUUUUUUUCUAGCACUUAUUGUAUGUAAAUACGUAUUUGGUUUACUUGUCUGUUUCCUCCAACUAGAGUCUAUCUGUGACUCCCUGAGGGUUUUGUUCUGUCUGGUAGUCAGUGCUCAGAGCAAUGCCGAGUACAUAGUCAGCGCUCAGACAUCUGUUGAAGCAAAGUGUUAUCUGGGCAAACUUGUGGGCACAGCAGGCUGGUAAUGAUUUGGUAUGGGUUGAUGAAUUCUUGCACUCUAGUAAAUGACCUUUGUCUUUUCAAGUGUAAUAUUUAAUUUUUAAUUAGUUUGGCAUGACAAGUUAAGUAUUUCAAGCAGUUAAUCAUUUAUUCAUUUAAAAUAACAGGUUGUUUUUAGAUAGAAGUCUAAGGAAGAAAAUAAAAAUGGACUCUCAGCCUAUUGACCAAAGAAGCCUACUGAUAGGCUUAAUAAAGCCUACUUAUAUCUUAAUAAGGAUAUAUAUAUAUACUUUUCUAGGAUAACAACAAAACAAAUGAUAAAAGUACGUG